AAAGAUGUGUGCUCUCAUCGUGCUCAGGUUUGCGUGCUAAACACUGACCACCGCCCGGGAGUGCUUGCCAGACAGGAAAACUAAGAAGUCUUGGAAAUGGCCAUGGAGCACAUAUUUAACUUGCAAAAGGCUGAGCGCAGGCUGUCAGGAUCUGACCUUGCCAGAACUAGCACACAUGCCUAACUGCUACCAAACUCACUGGAGAGCUUCUGCGAGUAAAACAACUUCACUGUUUGCAAGGCAGCCCCCGCGAAGCACAAAUGCAAGCAGCCUUCCUGAGACAUUUCUUGGCUUGGAAACGGUGCCGCGGCUGCAGCUGCAUGGAUCCAUGGCAACGGGAGCGCCGAGCAGUCCCGCUUCCCCAACCCCACGCCAGCAGAGCGGAGGUGAGCGUGUCCUUCAGCCCCCCCAAUGCCCAGCGGGAUCCAGACACACACCACCAGCGGGACGCUGCCGCUCAAAAGCCCUGGUGCUGGAGCCAGGCUCCUGCUGUGAACUGAGCCACGACCAUGUCAUAUACGCCCAACACGAGAAGGUGAAUGAAAUGAGAGUUACAGCUGUAAUAAAGGUAUCAUGCGUAGAGGAGGGUUGA
This 592-nucleotide long non-coding RNA is filed under the name Apteryx haastii (Great spotted kiwi). Its description in RNAcentral is "lncRNA (ENSAHAG00000013993.1)". Lineage: Eukaryota; Metazoa; Chordata; Aves; Apterygiformes; Apterygidae. The record is from RNAcentral.